CCUUACCUACUCUUGACAUCCAGAGAAUUCGCUAGAGAUAGCUUAGUGCCUUCGGGAACUCUGAGACAGGUGCUGCAUGGCUGUCGUCAGCUCGUGUUGUGAAAUGUUGGGUUAAGUCCCGCAACGAGCGCAACCCUUAUCCUUAUUUGCCAGCACGUAAUGGUGGGAACUCUAGGGAGACUGCCGGUGAUAAACCGGAGGAAGGUGGGGACGACGUCAAGUCAUCAUGGCCCUUACGAGUAGGGCUACACACGUGCUACAAUGGUCGGUACAGAGGGUUGCAAAGCCGCGAGGUGGAGCUAAUCUCACAAAGCCGAUCGUAGUCCGGAUUGGAGUCUGCAACUCGACUCCAUGAAGUCGGAAUCGCUAGUAAUCGUGGAUCAGA
Molecule: ribosomal RNA, 385 nt
Filed under: uncultured bacterium
Lineage: Bacteria
Description: bacterial SSU rRNA
Rfam family: Bacterial small subunit ribosomal RNA
Source: RNAcentral